This 490-nucleotide ribosomal RNA is filed under the name uncultured bacterium. Its description in RNAcentral is "partial 16S ribosomal RNA". It matches the Rfam family "Bacterial small subunit ribosomal RNA", at positions 30 to 507 of the family's 1533-position model. The record is from RNAcentral.
AUUGAACGCUGGCGGCAGGCCUAACACAUGCAAGUCGAACGGUAACAGAAAGCAGCUUGCUGCUUUGCUGACGAGUGGCGGACGGGUGAGUAAUGUCUGGGAAACUGCCUGAUGGAGGGGGAUAACUACUGGAAACGGUAGCUAAUACCGCAUAACGUCGCAAGACCAAAGAGGGGGACCUUCGGGCCUCUUGCCAUCGGAUGUGCCCAGAUGGGAUUAGCGAGUAGGUGGGGUAACGGCUCACCUAGGCGACGAUCCCUAGCUGGUCUGAGAGGAUGACCAGCCACACUGGAACUGAGACACGGUCCAGACUCCUACGGGAGGCAGCAGUGGGGAAUAUUACACAAUGGGCGCAAGCCUGAUGCAGCCAUGCCGCGUGUAUGAAGAAGGCCUUCGGGUUGUAAAGUACUUUCAGCGGGGAGGAAGGGAGUAAAGUUAAUACCUUUGCUCAUUGACGUUACCCGGAGAAGAAGCACCGGCUAACUCCGUG